UUCCUUCAAUAUUUAGUUUUUUCUUUGGGUUUCUUUUUUUUGCAAGCAAGUGCAUGGUUGAAUCAAAAGUAGCUAUGCAAUUGUAAUAAGACCAGUUCUGUUAACAAAAAAGUAUUGACUACCAUUGAUAACAAAUAUCUUUAUUACAAAUAGAGUUUAGUACUAAGUAACAUGUAUAAAUAAAAUUCAUACUUCACAACUCUCAACAUACAUAAAAUAUAAUUAUCAUAUUCAAUGAGCCUAAUAAUGAAAUAUUUUUCUAAAUAAAAAUGAAGUCAGUAUAAAUUCUGGUCUGAAUAAUUUGAAUCCACCCUACUUGCAGUGUUUUAUCAAUGCCUAGAUUGAGCUUACCGUUGAACAUUGUACGUAUUAAAGACUAAAAUUUUCAAUUUGUUUUUUUAAUUAGUAUGUUGAUAAAGAGAUAUUUACUUUAAAUAUUUGAGUAAUAGAAUUCUAUGUCUUUUAAAUCAAAACAUCAAAAAAUUACAACAUCAAUGCCAUAAUUGUCUUAUGUACCAGAAAUGGAGAGAAAAAAAUCCUUUCAAAAUGCAAAAUGUAACAAUUUUUAAUGAUUUGUUUCUUUU
Molecule: long non-coding RNA, 584 nt
Filed under: Mytilus galloprovincialis (Mediterranean mussel)
Lineage: Eukaryota; Metazoa; Mollusca; Bivalvia; Mytilida; Mytilidae
Source: RNAcentral